Molecule: small nuclear RNA, 354 nt
Filed under: Loxodonta africana (African savanna elephant)
Lineage: Eukaryota; Metazoa; Chordata; Mammalia; Proboscidea; Elephantidae
Description: 7SK RNA
Rfam family: 7SK RNA (bases 1-195)
About the family: 7SK was discovered as an abundant small nuclear RNA in the mid-70s but a possible function has only recently been suggested. Two independent studies have found that 7SK RNA binds the CDK9/cyclin T complex (known as elongation factor P-TEFb).
Source: Rfam by way of RNAcentral
AGAUGUGAGAGCAACCUGGCUGAGACAUCUGUCGCCCCUUUGUUCACCAGCAUUGAUUCUACUGAUCUGACAGGUGAAGCAGAUGUCCUCCUUCCUCCCUCCGUGCCCCAUUCCUCCCUCCCCUCUGAAGCUGCACUUUCAGGAACAUCCAAAUAGGCAUACAAACAGGAGGGAAAGCCAUGGUCUUGGGUGAGAUUGCAGAGGGAAAACGUAGAGAGUAAGAGGAGAAAGGGAACUGGGGGUAAGUAUUGUUGUUAGGUGCCAUCAAGUUGGUUCCUACUCAUAGUGACCCUGUGUACAACAGAACAAAACACUGCCUAGUCCUGAGUCAUCCUCAGAAUCGUUGCUAUGUUU